Non-coding RNA from Macaca mulatta (Rhesus monkey), 684 nucleotides. NCBI's taxonomy places the organism in Eukaryota, Metazoa, Chordata, Mammalia, Primates, Cercopithecidae. The record is from RefSeq and is a predicted model, not a curated record.
CUGGCCUUCCUGAAGGGGGAAGCAGGCCACCUCCCACCUCCUGGUCUAUGUCUGGGACUUGGCAGCCAAAGUACAUCCCAGAAGGGAACCUAAACUAAGACACUGGAUACUGAAAAUGGUUUGACAAAGCAGACCCUCACUCAAGGCUUCAUGUUGGAAUCGAUCUGUCCACCUGUCUCAGAGUCACAGGGUCUCCAUACCUCUGGGGUCCUGCAAGGUGUUUGUUCUCAAGACCUGCCCUCACCACUGCUCCUUGAUGCCAGGCCGACAUCCAGGGUCAGACUUCACCACAGCUAGAGCAGAGAGGCAUAUGCUCAGCUUUGGUCAGAACUGUCCUGUUCUCCAAAGGAAUUGCAGAGCUAACGUGUGCCAGCAGGAUCUUAAGGAACACAGAUACUCCUGCAUGACCCAUUUCAAGCUACCACCGUGACCUCCUGUGAAAGUGGUGAUGCCAUCUAAGGCCACAUGCAUGGAGAGAAGCCCACCCUGCUUGCCCUGGGUUCAGGCCAACAUGGCCAACCUAAGCAAUUCCUUAGAAAACAGAGUUUGGAUCUGCCCAGUUACAAGGAGAAAUGGACCUCCCAACGUUCAACAUCUAGAAGACUAUUUUUCUAAACUCUUUGUUAAAAGAUUUUAAAAGGGGCUGUUCUUACCAAAUCUCAAUAAAAUGUCCAUUGUAAGAUA